UACGUAGGGGCCAAGCGUUGUCCGGAAUUAUUGGGCGUAAAGAGCUCGUAGGCGGCCCAUCAAGUCGGGUGUGAAAUCUCAAGGCUCAACCUUGAAAUUGCAUUCGAUACUGCUGGGCUUGAGGCAGGUAGGGGAAAGCGGAAUUCCUGGUGUAGCGGUGAAAUGCGCAGAUAUCAGGAGGAACACCGGUGGCGAAGGCGGCUUUCUGGGCCUGUACUGACGCUGAGGAGCGAAAGCGUGGGGAGCAAACAGG
This 253-nucleotide ribosomal RNA is filed under the name uncultured bacterium. RNAcentral describes it as "partial 16S ribosomal RNA". It matches the Rfam family "Bacterial small subunit ribosomal RNA", at positions 524 to 776 of the family's 1533-position model. The record is from RNAcentral.